GAUGAACGCUGGCGGCGCGCCUAACACAUGCAAGUCGAACGGCACCCCUCCUCGGAGGGAAGCGAGUGGCGAACGGCUGAGUAACACGUGGAGAACCUGCCCCCUCCCCCGGGAUAGCCGCCCGAAAGGACGGGUAAUACCGGAUACCCCGGGGUGCCGCAUGGCACCCCGGCUAAAGCCCCGACGGGAGGGGAUGGCUCCGCGGCCCAUCAGGUAGACGGCGGGGUGACGGCCCACCGUGCCGACAACGGGUAGCCGGGUUGAGAGACCGACCGGCCAGAUUGGGACUGAGACACGGCCCAGACUCCUACGGGAGGCAGCAGUGGGGAAUCUUGCGCAAUGGGGGGAACCCUGACGCAGCGACGCCGCGUGCGGGACGGAGGCCUUCGGGGCGUAAACCGCUUUCAGCAGGGAAGAGUCAAGACUGUACCUGCAGAAGAAGCCCCGGCUAACUACGUG
Molecule: ribosomal RNA, 459 nt
Filed under: uncultured bacterium
Lineage: Bacteria
Description: partial 16S ribosomal RNA
Rfam family: Bacterial small subunit ribosomal RNA
Source: RNAcentral